This is a transfer RNA of Ipomoea nil (Japanese morning glory), 71 nucleotides long. It matches the Rfam family "tRNA". From Rfam's summary of the family: Transfer RNA (tRNA) molecules are approximately 80 nucleotides in length. Their secondary structure includes four short double-helical elements and three loops (D, anti-codon, and T loops). The record is from Rfam. NCBI's taxonomy places the organism in Eukaryota, Viridiplantae, Streptophyta, Magnoliopsida, Solanales, Convolvulaceae.
GCGCAUUUAGUGUAGUGGUAUCAUAGUACCCUCCCACGAUACUGACUGGGGUUCAAUUCCUUGAAUGCACA